UGGGGAAUAUUGGACAAUGGGGGAAACCCUGAUCCAGCAAUGCCGCGUGAGUGAAGAAGGCCUUAGGGUUGUAAAGCUCUUUCGCCCGCGAAGAUAAUGACGGUAGCGGGAGAAGAAGCCCCGGCUAACUCCGUGCCAGCAGCCGCGGUAAUACGGAGGGGGCUAGCGUUGUUCGGAAUUACUGGGCGUAAAGCGUACGUAGGCGGAUGCGCAAGUUGGGGGUGAAAUCCCGGGGCUUAACCUCGGAAUUGCCCUCAAAACUGCACGUCUUGAGACCGAGAGAGGUAAGGGGAAUUCCUAGUGUAGAGGUGAAAUUCGUAGAUAUUAGGAAGAACACCAGUGGCGAAGGCGCCUUACUGGCUCGGUACUGACGCUGAGGUACGAAAGCGUGGGGA
RNAcentral lists this ribosomal RNA (395 nucleotides) under uncultured bacterium. RNAcentral's name for it is "bacterial SSU rRNA". It matches the Rfam family "Bacterial small subunit ribosomal RNA", at positions 355 to 767 of the family's 1533-position model. The record is from RNAcentral.